RNAcentral lists this ribosomal RNA (462 nucleotides) under uncultured organism. RNAcentral describes it as "bacterial SSU rRNA". It matches the Rfam family "Bacterial small subunit ribosomal RNA", at positions 29 to 507 of the family's 1533-position model. The record is from RNAcentral.
AAUGAACGUUGGCGGCGUGGAUUAGGCAUGCAAGUCGAGCGCGAACCCGCAAGGGGGAGAGCGGCGAACGGCGUAGUAAUGGAUCGGAACGUACCCUUCGGCCGGGGAUAGCUACGGGAAACUGUAGGUAAUACCCGAUAACAUCUGCGGAUCAAAGGUGAGAUUCCGCCGGGGGAGCGGCUGAUUUGAUAUUAGCUAGUUGGUGGGGUAAUGGCUUACCAAGGCGAUGAUGUCUAGGGGGUGUGAGAGCAUGGCCCCCACGACCGGAACUGAGAUACUGUCCGGACACCUACGGGUGGCUGCAGUCGAGAAUCUUCCGCAAUGGACGAAAGUCUGACGGAGCGACGCCGCGUGCGGGAUGAAGGCCCUUGGGUUGUAAACCGCUGUCAGAGGGGAUGAAAUCUUCGGAGGUCCUCCUCCGAAGUUGACAGAGCCUCAAAGGAAGCACGGGCUAAGUACGUG